RNAcentral lists this long non-coding RNA (1350 nucleotides) under Homo sapiens (human). RNAcentral describes it as "HSALNT0264988". Lineage: Eukaryota; Metazoa; Chordata; Mammalia; Primates; Hominidae. The record is from RNAcentral.
AAAAAAAGUCAUAAAAAAAUAAAAAGCUCAGAACCAGAGACACUCUUAGGUAAUUUUUAGUAUAUAAGUCCUUGCAUAAACUAGGUGUUCAAUACUGUCAAAGCAAUUUAAGAAUAUAAGAAACAAUACCAGGUCCUAGAAAGAGCAAGUAUGAACGAAAAAGUAUCUGAUAAAGCUCUCAAUGAAUUUAGAAGCUUAUUUUGCCAAGGUGAAUGAUGUGCUUGGGAAACAAGUCUGUGCCUUUCUCCAAAGAUGACUUUCAGGGCUUCAACAUUUAAAGGAGAAAAGUGGGAUAGAGAGGAAAGAGGGAGAGUAUGGUAAUCCACAUAUUGCAAGAGAAAAGGAGCAAGCAAGGGAAUAGUCAAUUAUGUAUUGGUGUCACACUCAGUAAAUUGACACGUUACAUAAGAUAAGAUGAACAUAAAGUAGCUACCUGUGGAAAUAUUUAACCUUUUAUCUGUAGUUAUCUACUUAGGAACAAAAGGAAAGGUAGUUGCUUGCAUGACUCAGCUUUCAGCUUAAUAUUUUUCCUUUGGCAUAGUAAAUUUAUUUUCUUUUCACAAUUCUCACCGCCACUUUUUAAAAAGCCAGUCAAAUUUAGCAGUGGGGGGGUCAUAUACCAACUUUAGUGACACUAGUGUUAAUAAGUUCUGAUAACCCACUACCAUUGGACCAAACCUCCCUAUUUUUUCUUUUAAACUCUUUCAGAAAAUGCAUUUUAGAAGAAAAUGAGUCUCUGAUCUCAGGAUUUGUCUGAUCUCUCACGAUUGGGAUGGCCCAUUCCUAGAGGGGGAGAAGACCUGGAAAACACUGCUAGACCAACUCAAAAUUACAAAGUUUUCCAGAGCUUAUAUGUCUUCUAAGCCAUAUGUCUAUGUCUGCAGGAAUGUAGACAAUUCAGAGGCUUUGUUCCCCAUAAUUUGGAACUUUUCUUCAGAUUUGACCAAGUCGGGUAGAGAUGAUCAAACCUAAUGGGAAAAAGACUGAAACAACAAAAACAGAAACAGGCAAACACAACCAGGCAAACUCAACCAAUUGUCAACCAGAAGAUGUUUAAAUUCACCUAUAGCCUGGAAGCACACCCCACCCUAUCCCGUUUUUGAGUUGUCCCGCCUUUCUGGACCAAACCAAUGUAUUUCCUAAAUGUAUUUGAUUGAUGUCUCAUGCUUCUCUAAAAUGUAUACAACCAAGCCGUGCCCUGACCACCUGGGGCACAUGUUCUCAGGACCUCCUGAGGGCUGUGUCACAGGCCACGGUCACUCGGCUCAGAAUAAAUCUCUUCAAUUAUGUAAGAGUUCAACUCUUUUUGUCGACAUAUGGUAUGGAUUUGUGUGUAUACUUCUUCCCCAG